This 400-nucleotide ribosomal RNA is filed under the name uncultured Choanoflagellida. RNAcentral describes it as "partial small subunit ribosomal RNA". It matches the Rfam family "Eukaryotic small subunit ribosomal RNA", at positions 30 to 432 of the family's 1831-position model. Lineage: Eukaryota; Choanoflagellata. The record is from RNAcentral.
GCUUGUCUCAAAGAUUAAGCCAUGCAUGUCUAAGUAUAAAUAACUCUGUACUGUGAAACUGCGAAUGGCUCAUUAAAUCAGUUAUAGUUUAUUUGAUGGUACUUACUACAUGGAUAACCGUGGUAAUUCUAGAGCUAAUACAUGCGAAAAGACCCGACCUCUGGAAGGGUUGUAUUUAUUAGAUACAAAACCAAUCAGCCUCGGCUGUUUGUGGUGAGUCAUAAUAACUUUGCGAAUCGUAUGGCCUCGCGCCGACGAUGGAUCAUUCAAAUUUCUGCCCUAUCAACUUUCGAUGGUAAGGUAUUGGCUUACCAUGGUUGCAACGGGUAACGGAGAAUUAGGGUUCGAUUCCGGAGAGGGAGCCUGAGAAAUGGCUACCACAUCCAAGGAAGGCAGCAGG